AGGACGAACGCUGGCGGCGUGCUUAACACAUGCAAGUGGAGCGACGAACCAGGGCUUGCCCUGGGGCAGAGCCGCGAACGGGUGAGUAACACGUGGGUUACCUGCCUUGAUGACCGGGACAACCCGAGGAAACUCGGGCUAAUACCGGAUGUGCCCGCAAGGGGAAAGGAAGCUUCGGCCUCCGCAUCAAGAUGGGCCCGCGGCCCAUUAGCUUGUUGGUGAGGUAACGGCUCACCAAGGCUUCGAUGGGUAGCUGGUCUGAGAGGACGAUCAGCCACACUGGGACUGAGACACGGCCCAGACUCCUACGGGAGGCAGCAGUGGGGAAUCUUGCGCAAUGCGCGAAAGCGUGACGCAGCAACGCCGCGUGGGGGAAGAAGGCUUUCGGGUUGUAAACCCCUUUCAGUUGGGACGAAGCUUCUCCGGUUAAUAGCCGGAUGGAGUGACGGUACCUUCACAAGAAGCACCGGCUAACUACGUGCCAGCAGCCGCGGU
RNAcentral lists this ribosomal RNA (495 nucleotides) under uncultured bacterium. RNAcentral describes it as "SSU rRNA". It matches the Rfam family "Bacterial small subunit ribosomal RNA", at positions 26 to 521 of the family's 1533-position model. The record is from RNAcentral.